GAUGAAGAACGUAGCGAAAUGCGAUACUUGGUGUGAAUUGCAGAAUCCCGCGAAUCAUCGAGUUUUUGAACGCAAGUUGCGCCCGAAGCCAUUCGGCCGAGGGCACGUCUGCCUGGGUGUCACGCAUCAUUGCCCCCCCAAACUCCGGUUCGGGCGGGGCGGAAGUUGGCCUCCCGUGCGUGCCUGCGCGCGCGGUUAGCCCAAAAGCGAGUCCUCGGCGAUGAGCGCCACGACAAUCGGUGGUUUUUUUACCCUCGUUCCUCGUCGUGCGUGCCCCGUCGCCCGAACGCGCUCUUGCAACCCUUACGCGUCGCCUCGGUGGCGCUCCCAACGCGACCCCAGGUCAGGCGGGACUACCCGCUGAGUUUAAGCAUAUCAAUAAGCGGAGGA
RNAcentral lists this unclassified non-coding RNA (390 nucleotides) under soil metagenome. RNAcentral describes it as "partial contains 5.8S ribosomal RNA, internal transcribed spacer 2, and large subunit ribosomal RNA". The stretch from base 1 to 122 matches the Rfam family "5.8S ribosomal RNA", at positions 35 to 154 of the family's 154-position model. The record is from RNAcentral.